GACGACACUGAUAUUGACAUCAUGAUUCGUGAAUGCAAAUUUUAUGGAAAAAAUGAGAUGCAGCUAGGACAAUGUAGGAUAUCUUCAAUCUAGGACACUAAAGACAAGAUGGGAGUUUCUGGAAAGCCAAGCAUACAUAACCAAAGGAUAUUUUCAUAGAAUGGACUUCUGUAGGCCAAAAAAAUAAAGACAACUUCAAGAAGAGUGACAUUUAGAAGAAAGAACAUUCAAUUGAUAAUGUUAUUAUGUCAACAACAAAAACAUCAAAAGUUGAUUGUAACGUUUUG
Long non-coding RNA from Mytilus trossulus (common blue mussel), 287 nucleotides. RefSeq lists it as uncharacterized. Lineage: Eukaryota; Metazoa; Mollusca; Bivalvia; Mytilida; Mytilidae. The record is from RefSeq and is a predicted model, not a curated record. The transcript has 3 exons.